Molecule: ribosomal RNA, 1968 nt
Filed under: human gut metagenome
Description: bacterial LSU rRNA
Rfam family: Bacterial large subunit ribosomal RNA
Source: RNAcentral
GUAAAUAAUUAAGGGCGUAUGGUGGAUGCCUAGGCUCUCAGAGGCGAUGAAGGACGUGAUAAGCUGCGAAAAGCUCCGUUUAGGUGCAAAUAACCUUUGAUGCGGAGAUCUCCGAAUGGGAUAACCCAAUAUGUUGAAGACAUAUUAUACCGUAAGGUAGGCAAACGCAGGGAACUGAAACAUCUAAGUACCUGCAGGAGAAGAAAACAAAAGUGAUUCCCCCAGUAGCGGCGAGCGACCGGGGAUAAGCCCAAACCGUUAUUGUUUCGGCAGUAGCGGGGUAGUAGGACUGCGACAUUGAUGAAAUAAAUGAAAUGGAACACCUUGGAAAAUGUGAUCACAGAGGGUGAUAAUCCCGUACAUGCAAGUUUAUGAAUCAUAGCAGUAUCCUGAGUAAGUCGGGACACGUGUAAUCCUGACCGAAUCCGCCGGGACCAUCCGGCAAGGCUAAAUACUCCUGAGAGACCGAUAGUGAACCAGUACCGUGAGGGAAAGGUGAAAAGCACUUCGAACAGAAGAGUGAAAUAGUCCCUGAACCCAUACGCCUACAAGCAGUCGGAGCCGCUUCGUGCGGUGACGGCGUGCCUUUUGCAUAAUGAGCCUACGAGUUACUCAUCACCAGCGAGGUUAAGUACUUCAGGUACGUAAGCCGAAGCGAAAGCGAGUCUGAAUAGGGCGUCAAGUUGGUGGUGGUAGACGCGAAACCUUAGUGAUCUACCCAUGGGCAGGGUGAAGGUUUGGUAACACAAACUGGAGGCCCGAACCGGUAAACGUUGAAAAGUUUUCGGAUGACCUGUGGGUAGGGGUGAAAGGCCAAUCAAACUGGGAAAUAGCUCGUACUCUCCGAAAUGCAUUUAGGUGCAGCCUCUGUUGUUUUGUUCUAGAGGUAGAGCUACUGAUUGGAUGCGAGGGCUUCACCGCCUAUCAAAUCCGGCCAAACUCCGAAUGCUAGAACAUGAAGACAGGGAGUGAGCCAGCGGGUGCUAAGGUCCGUUGACGAAAGAGGGAGAACUCAGACCAUCAGCUAAGGUCCCCAAUUGUAUGCUAAGUUGGAAUUAAAACGGGGUGGGACUGCUUAGACAGCUAGGAUGUUGGCUUGGAAGCAGCCAUUCAUUUAAAGAGUGCGUAACAGCUCACUAGUCGAGCGGUCCUGCAUGGAUAAUACGCGGGCAUAAGCAUAUAACCGAAGCUAUGGGAUUGUAGAUGAUACAAUCGGUAGGAGAGCAUUCCAUUCAGCGUAGAAGCAGUAUCGUGAGGUAUUGUGGAGCGGAUGGAAAAGCAAAUGUAGGCAUAAGUAACGAUAAUGCGGGUGAGAACCCCGCACGCCGAAAGAUCAAGGAUUCCCCGGCAAUGUCAAUCAUCCGGGGGUAAGUCGGAUCCUAAGGGUAAGCCGAGUGGCGAUCCCGAUGGCAAACAGGUUAAUAUUCCUGUACUGAUCAUAACUGCGAUGCAGCGACGCAGAGGUGACACUGCUGCGUACUGACGGAAUAGUACGUUGAAACCCGUAUUCUUUGAUACCGGUAGUGAAGCACGCCGGUAGAGAUGAAAGGUGAUAGUACCGCAAUGCUUCGGUUGCGCGGAUAAUGCAGGUAAGCUGACUGCCAAGAAAACCUGCUAAGCUUCAGGUAAUGAUCAUCCGUACUGUAAACGGACACACGUGAUCAGGUAGAAAAUACUAAGGCGCUCGAGAGAUUCAUGGUUAAGGAACUAGGCAAAAUGGUCCUGUAACUUCGGGAUAAAGGACGCUCUUGUGAAAGAGCCGCAGAUAAUAGGCCCAGGCGACUGUUUACCAAAAACACAUGGCUAUGCUAAUUCGCAAGAAGAUGUAUAUGGCCUGACACCUGCCCGGUGCCGGAAGGUUAAGAGGAGAGCUCAGAGGUAACUCGAAGGUUUGAAUUGAAGCCCCGGUAAACGGCGGCCGUAACUAUAACGGUCCUAAGGUAGCGAAAUUCCUUGUCGGGUAAGUUC